UAGGGAAUCUUCGGCAAUGGACGGAAGUCUGACCGAGCAACGCCGCAUGAGUGAAGAAGGUUUUCGGAUCGUAAAGCUCUGUUGUUAGAGAAGAACGUUGGUAGGAGUGGAAAAUCUACCAAGUGACGGUAACUAACCAGAAAGGGACGGCUAACUACGUGCCAGCAGCCGCGGUAAUACGUAGGUCCCGAGCGUUGUCCGGAUUUAUUGGGCGUAAAGCGAGCGCAGGCGGUUCUUUAAGUCUGAAGUUAAAGGCAGUGGCUUAACCAUUGUACGCUUUGGAAACUGGAGGACUUGAGUGCAGAAGGGGAGAGUGGAAUUCCAUGUGUAGCGGUGAAAUGCGUAGAUAUAUGGAGGAACACCGGUGGCGAAAGCGGCUCUCUGGUCUGUAACUGACGCUGAGGCUCGAAAGCGUGGGGAGCAAACAGG
This 429-nucleotide ribosomal RNA is filed under the name Bacillota bacterium. RNAcentral's name for it is "Firmicutes bacterium partial 16S ribosomal RNA". It matches the Rfam family "Bacterial small subunit ribosomal RNA", at positions 355 to 776 of the family's 1533-position model. The record is from RNAcentral. Lineage: Bacteria; Bacillati; Bacillota.